UAAGGGAUAGAUAGCAAUCUACCUUUCAGGG
This 31-nucleotide non-coding RNA is filed under the name Mus musculus (house mouse). Lineage: Eukaryota; Metazoa; Chordata; Mammalia; Rodentia; Muridae. The record is from RNAcentral.